GAACGCGCAGUCUGUAGCAAUACAGGCGGGCGCGUGGCGAACGGGUGCGUAACACGUGGAUAACCUUCCUUCAGGUGGGGAAUAACCCAGUGAAAAUUGGGCUAAUACCGCAUAACAAGACGAUGGCACAUGCCGUUGUCUUCAAAGGCGCAAGUCGCCAGAAGAGGGAUCCGCGGCCGAUUAGCUUGUUGGCGGGGUAAUGGCCCACCAAGGCAAUGAUCGGUAGCCGGACUGAGAGGUUGGCCGGCCACACUGGAACUGAGACACGGUCCAGACUCCUACGGGAGGCAGCAGUGGGGAAUCUUGCACAAUGGGCGAAAGCCUGAUGCAGCAACGCCGCGUGGGGGAUGAAGCUUCUCGGAGUGUAAACCCCUUUCGACCCGGAAGAAAGCCCGCAAGGGUUUGACGGUACGGGUAUAAGAAGCCCCGGCUAACUACGUG
This 441-nucleotide ribosomal RNA is filed under the name uncultured bacterium. RNAcentral's name for it is "bacterial SSU rRNA". It matches the Rfam family "Bacterial small subunit ribosomal RNA", at positions 64 to 507 of the family's 1533-position model. The record is from RNAcentral.